Molecule: ribosomal RNA, 468 nt
Filed under: uncultured bacterium
Lineage: Bacteria
Description: partial 16S ribosomal RNA
Rfam family: Bacterial small subunit ribosomal RNA
Source: RNAcentral
GACGAACGCUGGCGGCGUGCUUAACACAUGCAAGUCGAACGGAAAGGCCCUGCUUUUGUGGGGUGCUCGAGUGGCGAACGGGUGAGUAACACGUGAGUAACCUGCCCUUGACUUUGGGAUAACUUCAGGAAACUGGGGCUAAUACCGGAUAGGAGCUCCUGCUGCAUGGUGGGGGUUGGAAAGUUUCGGCGGUUGGGGAUGGACUCGCGGCUUAUCAGCUUGUUGGUGGGGUAGUGGCUUACCAAGGCUUUGACGGGUAGCCGGCCUGAGAGGGUGACCGGCCACAUUGGGACUGAGAGACGGCCCAGACUCCUACGGGAGGCAGCAGUGGGGAAUAUUGCACAAUGGGCGGAAGCCUGAUGCAGCAACGCCGCGUGCGGGAUGACGGCCUUCGGGUUGUAAACCGCUUUGGCCUGUGACGAAGCGUGAGUGACGGUAAUGGGUAAAGAAGCACCGGCUAACUACGUG